Molecule: ribosomal RNA, 884 nt
Filed under: uncultured bacterium
Lineage: Bacteria
Description: bacterial SSU rRNA
Rfam family: Bacterial small subunit ribosomal RNA
Source: RNAcentral
AGAGUUUGAUCCUGGCUCAGGACGAACGCUGGCGGCGUGCCUAAUACAUGCAAGUCGAGCGGGAACCUCGGGAGGGGUAACCCUUCCGAGGGGAGAGCGGCGAACGGGUGAGUAACACGUGGGCAACCUGCCCCGGACACCGGGAUAACUCAGGGAAACCUGGGCUAAUACCGGAUACUUCGGCGUGAUCGCAUGGUCGUGCCGGGAAAGCUCCGACGGUCCGGGAUGGGCCCGCGGCCUAUCAGCUUGUUGGUGGGGUAACGGCCUACCAAGGCGGCGACGGGUAGCUGGUCUGAGAGGACGGCCAGCCACACUGGGACUGAGACACGGCCCAGACUCCUACGGGAGGCAGCAGUAGGGAAUCUUGCGCUAAUGCGCGAAAGCGUGACGCAGCGACGCCGCGUGCGGGAUGAAGGCCCUCGGGUCGUAAACCGCUUUCGGCAGGGACGAAGCGAAAGUGACGGUACCUGCAGAAGAAGUCCCGGCUAACUACGUGCCAGCAGCCGCGGUAACACGUAGGGGACGAGCGUUGUCCGGAUUCAUUGGGCGUAAAGAGCGCGUAGGCGGCUCGGAAAGUCGGUCGUGAAAUCCUGGGGCUCAACCCCGGAACUGCGUCCGAUACUUCCGAGCUGGAGGCAGGUAGGGGAGAUCGGAAUUCCUGGUGUAGCGGUGAAAUGCGCAGAUAUCAGGAGGAACACCGGUGGCGAAGGCGGAUCUCUGGGCCUUGCCUGACGCUGAGGCGCGAAAGCUAGGGGAGCGAACAGGAUUAGAUACCCUGGUAGUCCUAGCCGUAAACGUUGGGUGCUAGGUGUGGGCGGAUAUCGACCCCGUCCGUGCCGAAGCUAACGCAUUAAGCACCCCGCCUGGGGAGUACGGCCGCAAGG